This 253-nucleotide ribosomal RNA is filed under the name uncultured bacterium. Its description in RNAcentral is "partial 16S ribosomal RNA". It matches the Rfam family "Bacterial small subunit ribosomal RNA", at positions 524 to 776 of the family's 1533-position model. The record is from RNAcentral.
UACGGAGGGUGCAAACGUUGCUCGGAAUCAUUGGGCGUAAAGCGCACGUAGGCGGCCUGUUAAGUCGGAUGUGAAAGCCCCGGGCUCAACCCGGGAAGUGCAUUCGAAACUGGCGGGCUUGAAUAUGGAAGAGGGUCGCGGAAUUCCCAGUGUAGAGGUGAAAUUCGUAGAUAUUCGGAAGAACACCAGUGGCGAAGGCGGCUCACUGGACCGGCAUUGACGCUGAGGUGCGAAAGCGUGGGGAGCAAACAGG